UAAGGAAUAUUGGACAAUGGAGGCAACUCUGAUCCAGCCAUGCCGCGUGAAGGAUUAAGGCCCUAUGGGUUGUAAACUUCUUUUAGACGGGACAAAACCCCUUUACGUGUAAAGGGUUGAUGGUACUGUCAGAAUAAGCAUCGGCUAACUUCGUGCCAGCAGCCGCGGUAAUACGAAGGAUGCAAGCGUUAUCCGGAAUUAUUGGGUUUAAAGGGUGCGUAGGCGGACUAAUAAGUCAGUGGUGAAAGCC
RNAcentral lists this ribosomal RNA (250 nucleotides) under uncultured bacterium. RNAcentral's name for it is "partial 16S ribosomal RNA". It matches the Rfam family "Bacterial small subunit ribosomal RNA", at positions 355 to 602 of the family's 1533-position model. The record is from RNAcentral.